CUUCUGGUACGCUCGUACCAGAAGUGCGGGGGACGGCGGAUCUGCCACCCGGCCCGCGCUU
This 61-nucleotide non-coding RNA is filed under the name unclassified sequences. The record is from RNAcentral.